GGGACCUUCCUGUGGGGGCACAAAUCUUGUCCUGUCACUGGAGGAUGCACACAGCUCAUGGAGACCACGUCAACCACCGGCCUAAGGAAAGCAGCGGGAAAGCUAAAGUGUGACGCGGCUUAAGCAGCUUGUCUGAGUUUGCACAGCUGGCAAAUGGCUGAGCCAUGACUCACACCCAGGUCCAUCCACCGCCAAAGCUCCAGAUCUCUGGCAUCCUUCUAAGGUCAGAAAGGGAAAGAAAUCCCUAAUAAGGAGCCUGUGUGACGGCGUGCCCCCCUCCACUUUCCCACCCCUGCCAAGGACCCGUUUGAAGGCUGUUCACGCCAGUCACUGCAAUCACCAUUGAGCACAGAGAUGACAGUUCCAGCAAGCACUGACCUUCCAGCCCACUCUGCGGAGGAGAAGACUGAGGGGCAGAGAGGCUGUUGAUUUGCUGCAGUUGACUCUGACCCUAAUUUCCCGGCGCUGACUCAAACUCAUCAGGAACACUGCUUUCACUGAGUGUAUGAAGUGGUUUCUCCAUCCGUGUGGCUUUACCUGAACUCACACCGGUCCCACGGCCCAGGUGUGGAGCCGAGCACUCCCCUCUGCCUCCUCCCUGGACUGCAGGACCUGUGUCUCGCUUUAUGAAAGAGAUGCCAUUUGGGGAAGACUCGCAUUGUCGGGAGCGCUGUGGACGCUCCAGAAGGAGAUCAACACGAUGAUGACGAUGCCGG
Molecule: long non-coding RNA, 716 nt
Filed under: Homo sapiens (human)
Lineage: Eukaryota; Metazoa; Chordata; Mammalia; Primates; Hominidae
Description: non-protein coding LINC01345:7
Source: RNAcentral